RNAcentral lists this ribosomal RNA (468 nucleotides) under uncultured bacterium. RNAcentral describes it as "partial 16S ribosomal RNA". It matches the Rfam family "Bacterial small subunit ribosomal RNA", at positions 28 to 507 of the family's 1533-position model. The record is from RNAcentral.
GACGAACGCUGGCGGCGUGCUUAACACAUGCAAGUCGAACGGAAAGGCCCUGCUUUUGUGGGGUGCUCGAGUGGCGAACGGGUGAGUAACACGUGAGUAACCUGCCCUUGACUUUGGGAUAACUUCAGGAAACUGGGGCUAAUACCGGAUAGGAGCUCCUGCUGCAUGGUGGGGGUUGGAAAGUUUCGGCGGUUGGGGAUGGACUCGCGGCUUAUCAGCUUGUUGGUGGGGUAGUGGCUUACCAAGGCUUUGACGGGUAGCCGGCCUGAGAGGGUGACCGGCCACAUUGGGACUGAGAUACGGGCCAGACUCCUACGGGAAGCAGCAGUGGGGAAUAUUGCACAAUGGGCGGAAGCCUGAUGCAGCAACGCCGCGUGCGGGAUGACGGCCUUCGGGUUGUAAACCGCUUUCGCCUGUGACGAAGCGUGAGUGACGGUAAUGGGUAAAGAAGCACCGGCUAACUACGUG